Molecule: ribosomal RNA, 305 nt
Filed under: uncultured bacterium
Lineage: Bacteria
Description: bacterial SSU rRNA
Rfam family: Bacterial small subunit ribosomal RNA
Source: RNAcentral
CCUACGGGAGGCAGCAGUGGGGAAUAUUGCACAAUGGGGGGAACCCUGAUGCAGCGACGCCGCGUGGGUGAAGGAGUAUUUCGGUAUGUAAAGCCCUAUCAGCAGGGAAGAACAAUGACGGUACCUGACUAAGAAGCACCGGCUAAAUACGUGCCAGCAGCCGCGGUAAUACGUAUGGUGCAAGCGUUAUCCGGAUUUACUGGGUGUAAAGGGAGCGUAGACGGCUGCGCAAGUCAGAAGUGAAAGCCCGGGGCUCAACCGCGGGACUGCUUUUGAAACUGUGUAGCUAGAGUGCAGGAGAGGUA